UUAGUGGCGGACGGGUGAGUAACGCGUGGAAAACCUGCCGUAUACUGGGGGAGUAACACUUAGAAAUAGGUGCUAAUACCGCAUAAGCGCACAGCUUCGCAUGAAGCGGUGUGAAAAACUCUGGUGGUAUACGAUGGUUCCGCGUCUGAUUAGCUAGUUGGUGGGGUAAUGGCCUACCAAGGCAACGAUCAGUAGCCGGCCUGAGACGGGUGAACGGCCACAUUGGGACUGAGACACGGCCCAAACUCCUACGGAAGGCAGCAG
This 264-nucleotide ribosomal RNA is filed under the name uncultured bacterium. RNAcentral's name for it is "partial 16S ribosomal RNA". It matches the Rfam family "Bacterial small subunit ribosomal RNA", at positions 92 to 354 of the family's 1533-position model. The record is from RNAcentral.